AUGUGCCGUGCGGAGUGCGCACACUACUGUCUACCCACAAUCACCAUGCAUCCUCCUGCAAAGCUGCUGCUCCUCCUCGCCUUCGUCGGCACCUUAUUGCUCGCCGCCUCAUCCCAUGUGCCGGCCGCCUGCACACCGCAGGUGCGGGACGCGCUGCUGGCCUUCAAGCGAGGCAUCACCGGCGAGAUUGGCACCGCUGGCCUCCUCGCCUCAUGGCGCAAAGACGACGUCGACUGCUGCCAGUGGAGAGGUGUCCGGUGCAGCAACCGGACUGGCCAUACCCAUGUCGUCGCGCUGAACCUUCGAGGCCAGGGACUGGCCGGUGAGAUAAGUCCUUCUUUGCUUUCCCUGCCGCAUCUGGAGCAUCUUGAUCUCAGCAACAACAGCAUUACUGGCCGUAUCCCCGGCUUUCUGGGUUCUUUGGCAAACUUGAGAUAUCUUAACCUAUCCCAUGUAGUAUACGUUUCCUCGGUGGAAGUGCCUCCCCACCUUGGCAACCUCUCAAAGCUGCACUAUCUUGACCUGUCAGCCUAUGAGCCAUAUAAAGUUUCCUCCAAGGAUCUCUCAUGGUUAACACGUCUACGGUUUCUAAGGUAUCUCAACCUAGAUUCAGUAGACCUGAGCACGCUAGCUGACUGGCCUCAUGUGGUGAACGCCCUUCCUUCUUUGAGGUCCCUUCAUCUUUCUGGUUGUGGCCUAAUUAGUGCGAACCAGUCGCUCCCACAAUUAAACCUCACUACAACUCUUGAGGAGCUCGACCUUUCUUACAACAACUUUUACAACCCGGUUGCGUCUUGUUGGUUUUGGAACCUAACAAGACUCAAACAUCUCUACCUCGAAAAUAACAAUGGACUAUAUGGUCAGCUUCCUGAUGCAUUGGGGGGUAUGGUAUCCUUGCAAGAAUUAUCCUUGACACAAGGUAACAACAUGAUGAGCAUGGACUCGGCAGACUUGAAGAACCUAUGCAACUUGAGGUUCCUAUACCUUGACACUACUUUCUCAUAUGGAAUCAAAGCGCAGAGGCUGCCACAAUGUUCGUCAAACAGAUUGCACGAGUUACACCUGAUGGGAAACCAAUUGACAGGAACUCUAGCAGAUUGGAUGGGACACCGCACCAGCUUAGUCAUUCUUCAUCUUAGUUUGAACAACAUUACUGGGCCUAUACCGGAAUUUAUAGGGCAGUUUACAAAUUUGAAGUCUCUACAUCUCUCUGGCAACCACCUGACUGGACAUGUGCCAUCUGAAAUUGGCUUUCUCACAAAUUUGACUCUGUUGGAUCUAACUGACAAUCACUUGGAUGGUUUGAUUACAGAAGAACACUUUCAUGGUCUAAAAAGCUUAGAGAUCAUAAUCGUGAAUGAUCCGAUGAUUGCAAAAGAACAGUUAUCUAGUAUUAAUCAAUUGGAGAUUGUGGUAGGUUCAGAAUGGGUUCCUCCAUUUAGACUGCAAGAAGCGUGUCUUGCAUCUUGCCAGAUGGGGCCUCUGUUUCCUGCAUGGCUUAAGUGGCAAGUGGAUCUUACUUACCUUGAUAUAUCAAGCACAGGAAUAAACGAUACGUUUCCAGAUUGGUUCUCUAGUGCCUUUUCAAAGGCCACAUUCUUGGAUAUCUCCAAUAACCGAAUAAGUGGUACCUUGCCAAAAAAUAUGGGUAACAUGUCACUGGAACUUCUAUACUUUGGUUCAAACAAUAUAUCUGGUGGAAUACCUCAAUUGCCCAGAAACCUAAGCACAUUGGACAUACCAAGAAACUCUUUAUCAGGACCGCUGCCAUCAAAUUUUGGGGUUCCAGGCCUGUCUAGGAUACAUCUAUCUUCCAAUUAUUUCACAGGUCAAAUUCCAGUGUCUGUAUGUGGAUUGAACUUAUACUCCUUGGUUUUGGCCAACAAUCUUCUUGAAGGAGAAAUUCCACAAUGUUUUGAAACAAGUGACAUGUCAAUUCUGUCAUUAAGUAACAAUAGCUUCUCUGGCAAGUUUCCACCAUUUCUAGAAAGCUGCACAGAGCUAUCUUACUUAGAUCUGGCAAGCAACAGAUUCUCCGGAACAUUGCCAAUGUGGAUUGGGAACUUGUGGGAACUACAGGUUCUACGUCUGAGCAACAACAUGUUCUAUGGGCAUAUUCCAAAUAAUAUCACAAGCCUCAAAAAACUUUAUCAUUUGAAUCUGGCGGCUAAUAGGAUAUCAGGUACCAUACCUCAUCAUCUAUCAAAUCUAACAGCUAUGACAACACCAUUCGUACUGGAUCCUGGCACAAUCAUUAAAUUUUCCCCACUUUCAUCAAUUGAUAUGCCAGUAGUCAUCAAGAGGCAAGAACUUAAAUACAGAGGUUAUGGUGUUUUGGAGAUAUCGAGCAUUGACUUCUCAUGCAACUAUUUAAAUGGUAAAAUUCCAGAGGAAAUAACGUCUCUUGAAGGAUUGAUAAAUUUGAACUUGUCUUGGAAUCAAUUGAAUGGAGGAUUACCUAACAAGAUUGGGGACAUGCACACAUUGGAGUCGCUUGACAUCUCGAACAAUAAUAUUUCAGGAGAAAUCCCGUCAAGUGUAUCAAAUCUAACGUACUUGAGCAUUCUAGACCUCUCCUAUAAUCAUCUAGCAGGAAGAAUACCAUCAGGAAGUCAACUUGACACUCUUUACAUGGAGAACCCAGCCAUGUACAGUGGCAACAUUGGCCUUUGUGGGCCUAUCCUUCAUAAAAAUUGCUCAGUCAACAGUAAUGCACCGGAGCAUUACCAUCAACAGAGAAGUGAAGAACUUUCAGAGUCGAUGUUGUUCACUUACUUUGGACUUGGGUCAGGGUUUGUGGCUGGCCUUUGGGUUGUUUUCAUUGCUCUGCUCUUCAAGAAAGCAUGGAGGAUUGCUUAUUUCCGCUUCUUUGACAAGGUGCAUGACAAAGCCUAUGUGUUUAUAGUUGUCACUUGGGGCAGGUUAGCUAGGACUAGGUAA
Molecule: ribosomal RNA, 2940 nt
Filed under: Triticum aestivum (bread wheat)
Lineage: Eukaryota; Viridiplantae; Streptophyta; Magnoliopsida; Poales; Poaceae
Description: partial small subunit ribosomal RNA
Source: RNAcentral